GUCCCGUUCGUCUAUCGGUUAGGACGUCAGGUUUUCAACCUGAAAAGACGAGUUCGAUUCUCGUACGGGAUGCCA
This 75-nucleotide transfer RNA is filed under the name Rhodobacterales bacterium. Its description in RNAcentral is "tRNA-Glu". It matches the Rfam family "tRNA". Rfam says of the family: Transfer RNA (tRNA) molecules are approximately 80 nucleotides in length. Their secondary structure includes four short double-helical elements and three loops (D, anti-codon, and T loops). Lineage: Bacteria; Pseudomonadati; Pseudomonadota; Alphaproteobacteria; Rhodobacterales. RNAcentral also lists the same sequence under 2 other names. The record is from RNAcentral.